This is a long non-coding RNA of Capsicum annuum, 389 nucleotides long. RefSeq lists it as uncharacterized. NCBI's taxonomy places the organism in Eukaryota, Viridiplantae, Streptophyta, Magnoliopsida, Solanales, Solanaceae. The record is from RefSeq and is a predicted model, not a curated record. The transcript is spliced from 2 exons.
GCGAUGCGUCCAACCAGAUUUUAGCAACGCAUUUGACAAAUGUCUGAUAGGAUCUGCCAAAAAAAAAAUCUGUCAUGGCAGCGAUUCUAAUCAGAUCCAAAAAUUCAUACAACCAAUUAUGAAGAUUUUCUCACAGGAUGAAAGAUCUCAAUCUCAAAUAGAAGCAAUAAAUGACAGGGAAGAUGCAUACUCAAAUGCAGCAAAGAAAUAACAAAUUAAAGAAAGAUACUUGCUAAAAUUGCUUUCUUUUUCAUAUCAUUUAUUUUAUUAAGUUUCUCAAUAAAUAUUUUUUAUUGUAAGCAAAUACUGGUUCUAAGUAUAUUGUGAAGGUGACUAAAAAGCAUUUUUCCUGUCCAAUAAAUUAAUGAAUUAUCCUUCAAAUUUGUUUG